RNAcentral lists this ribosomal RNA (424 nucleotides) under uncultured bacterium. RNAcentral describes it as "bacterial SSU rRNA". It matches the Rfam family "Bacterial small subunit ribosomal RNA", at positions 359 to 775 of the family's 1533-position model. The record is from RNAcentral.
GAAUAUUGGACAAUGGGCGCAAGCCUGAUCCAGCCAUGCCGCGUGUGUGAAGAAGGCCUUCGGGUUUUAAAGCACUUUUGUUGGGGAAGAAAAGCCAUGGGCUAAUACCCUGUGGUUCUGACGGUACCCAAAGAAUAAGCACCGGCUAACUUCGUGCCAGCAGCCGCGGUAAUACGAAGGGUGCAAGCGUUACUCGGAAUUACUGGGCGUAAAGCGUGCGUAGGUGGUUCGUUAAGUCUGAUGUGAAAGCCCUGGGCUCAACCUGGGAAUUGCACUGGAUACUGGCGGGUUGGAGUACGGUAGAGGGUGGCGGAAUUCCUGGUGUAGCAGUGAAAUGCGUAGAUAUCAGGAGGAACAUCCGUGGCGAAGGCGGCCACCUGGACCAGUACUGACACUGAGGCACGAAAGCGUGGGGAGCAAACAG